GUUCCCCUACACCCCUCUUAACUUUUCAGGAUUAAGCAAGAGCAUAUAUAUAUACAUAUAUAUAUAUAUAUAUAUAUAUAUAUAUAUAUAUAUAUGCUCUUGCUUAAUCCUGAAAAGUUAAGAGGGGUGUAGGGGAAC
This is a non-coding RNA of Pelobates cultripes (western spadefoot toad), 138 nucleotides long. The record is from the annotation of a GenBank genome assembly. NCBI's taxonomy places the organism in Eukaryota, Metazoa, Chordata, Amphibia, Anura, Pelobatidae.